CCGUGACCAUGUGAUGCUCUGAUAUGGGAUUGAUUUAUUUUUUUUCACACAGAAAAAUCUAUUUGAUUGCAUCUAAAACAAGAAUACAUGUUGGAAUAUAAUCAAAUGCCUAGAUGUUAAUUAGCAAAAGACCAUGAUACUCUGGCUAACUUGUAAGCAAUAUUAUUUUGACUUAUCUAUCUCCUUGCAAAAUUCACCAAUGAAUUUGAAAUUAAAUUCAAAACCUUCCUACAAUUGGACAGGAUAUGAUGGUUUCAACAUCAAUGAAGUUAUCCUUGCAGCACAUUAAAUCAUCCACCACUAAUUUAUAGCCAACUUCAAUGGUAAUAUCUUGCAAACCCAGCUCUUGAAUCCAAAGAAUUCCUUGUAGUAACCCCCAUGAUUCUGCCUCUUUUGGAUGAAGAAUUCUUGUUAGCCAUUGAGUUCUUGCUUUUACGAAAUUUCCAUGAUAACAUCGGAGACACAAACCUGCACCAAAACAGCUAUGAUCUUGGAAGAUGGUAACAUGUGUGUUGAGUUUAAAACAACCUGUUGCAGCGUCCAUUGUUUGUUUUCGCACGUUUAUGAUGUGUUAACAUUAUGGAAAUUUUCUUUCCUAGCAUGCUUCCACUCCAAUGGAAACUGAGUUGCCGUAGAGGUGGAUAUGUUAACUGGUAGGUCCUCUUCAUUCCAGAUUUUUUUAUUCCUUCUUAUCCAUAUAGUCCAUAAAAUCAGG
RNAcentral lists this long non-coding RNA (715 nucleotides) under Glycine max (soybean). RNAcentral describes it as "long non-coding RNA (GMAX_LNC001879)". Lineage: Eukaryota; Viridiplantae; Streptophyta; Magnoliopsida; Fabales; Fabaceae. The record is from RNAcentral.